RNAcentral lists this ribosomal RNA (252 nucleotides) under uncultured bacterium. Its description in RNAcentral is "partial 16S ribosomal RNA". It matches the Rfam family "Bacterial small subunit ribosomal RNA", at positions 524 to 776 of the family's 1533-position model. The record is from RNAcentral.
UACGGAGGAUGCGAGCGUUAUCCGGAUUUAUUGGGUUUAAAGGGUGCGUAGGCGGAUCGUUAAGUCAGUGGUCAAAUUGAGGGGCUCAACCCCUUCCCGCCAUUGAAACUGGCGAUCUUGAGUGGAAGAGAAGUAUGCGGAAUGCGUGGUGUAGCGGUGAAAUGCAUAGAUAUCACGCAGAACCCCGAUUGCGAAGGCAGCAUACCGGCGCCCUACUGACGCUGAGGCACGAAAGCGUGGGUAUCGAACAGG